UUGCACCACAGUGUUUGUCAACUAGAAUGGGGAUUCCAUUACGUUGUUAAAUUAUAAUGUAGAGCCUGCUUAAAGUAAAAUAACAAAUGAGCAUCUUAAAUUGGUAAUGCAUUGGUAGAAUACUUUCUCAAGAGGUAUGGAAAAGAGAGAAACACUCCUAAUCUGCUCAAACAGCUCAUCAAUUCCUUAUAGUAGGCGACCGUUGAACCGAAUUAUAGAGGAAACCUUGUAGACACUUUAAAGUGUGAGUGUAAGAGAUUUGCCUGUUGGAGGAGGAGAAAGGAAAUAGGACCUCAGGGAAGGUUUGGAUAAUCAACCAUAUAAGGAAUUGGAUUUUUGUCAGCAUGUGAGAUAUAAUGAAAAAACACAAUUGAAAGGAGAAAGAAAUAACUCUCUUCUAUCCUUCGUGGUGAUUGGCCACACGUGGGAGCACAAUCAAAGCGUAACAGCCACUGGGCGAGACCCCUGUUUCCAGGCCACAACCACGAACUCUCGUCCCUGGCCUGAAAGUCAUCAGGGCUUUCCUAACUCCAGACGAACUAGACUGCGCUUCAUAAACACGAGCUCUUUUUAAGUCAGCCUCUCUAAAGCUAAGGCUAGUUCAACAUCUGAGAUGUGAGAUCUAUCAAACUCCAGAGACUACAACACUCAAAAGAAAAAGUCAUCCAAGUUUUUAGACUUUCUUAGGUCUCAGUGGUUCUUAAUCAUCAGAUCAGGUUUUGGAAUUAAGAUUAGGGAAAGCUUUGGAGAAGAGAAUUGGUGGAGUAAAAUGCAGGAAGGAGAGAAGAAGGAAUCGUUAUCCUCUUUUUCCUAAAAUAGAGGUUUGAGGGCGGAGUGGGAAGGGGCGUAAACUUGACUCAAAAAAGCUCAGUGUCUUUUGAAGAGGAACCUUCAGGAACAAGGUCUACUCCAUUCGGUCCCAUUUAAAAUUAUUUUUGAGGAGCCAUUAUGAGUCAGGCAUGAUGACAGGUCCUGGGUUGAGGGAGAUAAAUACUCUGAGUGCAGUCUUUGAGAAGCAAGCCCACGAUAGAGUAAGACAAGCAAGGAAACCAAGAAUGACCACAGAGCCACAUUUUGUUUUAAUGCAAGUUGACGAAGUGACUCGCUGUUCUCCAAGUUUCAAGCAUUAGGGCCUUGACCUUGGUCGCUAUCACUGCCCAGAACACUCUCUUCCAGGAUACACACAUGGUUAAGUCUCUCAUCUCUGUCCUGUCUUUGUGAAAAUAUCACCCCAUCUAUAAGCCCUUCUACCAUCAUCCUAUUUAAAAAUUGCAACCCACACACUCUGGCCUUCUCCAUCCCCCUUACUCUGCUCUACAUUUUUUUCCAUCACUCAUUAUCUGCUGACAUACUUCACAUUUUUUCUUUUUUUUUUUUUUGUUGGGGAAGAUUAGCCCUGAGCUAACAUCUAUGCCCAUCUUCCUCUACUUUAUAUGUGGGACACCUGCCACAGCAUGGCUUGACAAGCAGUGCGUAGGUAUGCACCCUGACCGGAACUGGCGAACCCCAGGCCGCCAAAGUGGGGCGUGCGAACUUAACCCCUACGCCAUCCACUGGCCCUGAGUGUGCUCUAUUUUUAACACAUAGCUCAGCUCUGCAUCAGAUGAUGCUUCAAAAUAUCAAGAAAAGAUUCUUCUUUAAAAAAUCCAGCAAGGGAGAAGAUAAAGAUGGCAUGGUUAAAGGCUGGAACGGAAAGGAGACCAACAGGGCUCCAGCCCAGAACAGCAACUGUGGAAAAGAAUCGAGCCUGAGACUCACUUUUUGCUCUCCGAGGAAGGAGGGCAUGAUGGACUUGUCCCCUGAGUGCUGCUCUGUAGCGGGUCCUGAUCCAGGUGCGGAGCGUGGGUGCUGCCACCCCAGGAAUCCUACCUGUUUUUAGCUUGAUGCUCAGUCUGCACUCACUGUUGACGCUGUGUGGGGGACGUGGCUUCCGGAUCCAGGAACACGGCCCCACUACAAGGAACGUCCUCAGGACAGGACGGGAGAGGUCCUAAUAACAGUCUUCCCCCUAACAACGCCCUCCUGAUUUAAAUAAAAUCUCACAUUUUGCUUUUAGAGUGUGUAAUAUUAUAUUCCCUUUAUGAUAAAAGAGGAAAUCUGGAAUAACGCAAAAAUAAUGCCCGACGAACGCCUCCACCGGGGAAUUUCUGAACAAUAAUCCCAAAACCAUAGAGGUGUGUCAAUGGGUUUUUAGUGACACUACAUAUCGUAAGUGACCCCGUCUCCCAAAUACAGUCAAUUUUAUCCAGCCACAAAAGAUUCACAAGUGCUGCCUUCCUCCUUUCUCUUCUAAGACCCAUUUCAUACCUUUCCUCUCUGUGCACAGAAAUCUUCUGUAGAAAAGCGGUUUCAAGUAGAAACAUUUUAUUCAACACAUUUUAAAUUCCAAGGAGCCUCCUGGGCAUUUUAAUAAGUAACGUUUAUUACACAAAUCCGACUGUAAGCUUCUAGCAGACCAAAAAUAGGUGUUUGUAUUAUUUUCCAUAUUAUAUUUAGUAGUGUCAUGUAAUAAAGUUCUUACUAAAUAAUGACUGUGUUAACAGGCCCGUGCUAUUAUCUCAUGCCUCCUAGGUUUGGUAGUCGGUUUAUUUUCCUCUAAUGGCAUACAGCUCUGGUUUACACAUAAGUUUUACAAAUUUCGCUUUGAUUUCAGAAGUGUGUUUUUUUAAGAAUAAAUUAAAUAGCUGUGGUCCAUUAAGAAAAAAAUUCUCCCUUUGUGUGUGUGUGUGUGUGUGUGU
RNAcentral lists this long non-coding RNA (2738 nucleotides) under Equus caballus (horse). RNAcentral's name for it is "lncRNA (ENSECAG00000052277.1)". The record is from RNAcentral. Lineage: Eukaryota; Metazoa; Chordata; Mammalia; Perissodactyla; Equidae.